Molecule: long non-coding RNA, 281 nt
Filed under: Populus trichocarpa (black cottonwood)
Lineage: Eukaryota; Viridiplantae; Streptophyta; Magnoliopsida; Malpighiales; Salicaceae
Description: long non-coding RNA (PTRI_LNC000109)
Source: RNAcentral
AUGCGUUUUAAUUCUUUAUAUUUGCACUUUUAUGAGCAUAUAAACUUUGCCUGGUUUAGCCUUCACCUGCAAAUAUUUACAGAUUCACAUAACCAUCAUAUAGAAGGCUGCUGUAAUGGCAGAUAUUAAUCAUAGUGUUUAAUGAUAUUAAUCAUAGUGUUUAAUGUAGCAUGUCUAUCAUGGAACUUAUAGCCGAUGGUUCGUCUUAUUGUAGGGUGAUGAUAGCGGCAAUAAUGAUAGUGUUGUGGCACGUACUUUCUUAAUUAGGACAAAAACAGAGG